CCGACACUGCAGCUGUCCGUUCUUGCCAGAGUCCCGGUCAGUGACCCGCACCAGGGCGAUGACGGUGCCGGGAGGGGCGGCCUCGCUCAGCGCCCCCUGGCGCACGGAGACGAAACCGAUGGACGGCGCAUUGUCGUUGCGGUCGAUGAGCUUGACCGUGACUUUGCAGUGGGCUGGGAUAGGGUUAGGCCCCAGGUCUCGGGCCUGCACGUCAAUCUCCAGCAUCCCGUUUUCCUCAUAGUCCAGAUUGCCCUUCACACGGAUUAGGCCGGUCUUGGGGUCGAUGGAGAAGAGCUCCCGCACGCGGUCAGGCACGUAGCUGCUGAAAGAGUAGAGCACUUCACCAUUGGGACCUUCAUCGGCGUCGGUGGCGUUCAGAUCGAUGACCACUGUACCCAGCGGAGCGUUCUCGGGCAGUUCCACCAAGUAGGAUGGCGCCUCGAAGACCGGGCUGUUGUCGUUGGAGUCAAUCACCUUCACGUUGAUCUGUACGGUGGCGGAACGUGGAGGCUCGCCACCGUCCAGGGCAGUCAGCACGAGCGUAUGGUGAUUCUGUUGCUCGCGGUCCAGAGCCUUCUGGAUGACCAGUUCUGGGAACUUGGUGCCGUCGCCGCGGGACUUAACGUCCAGUCCAAAGAGGCCGUGAUCGUCGCGCGUGAGCAGAUCUCCUUGUCGUUGGCGAACACCUCGAGGGACAGCUGGCACUUGGCAUUGUGGCGGCACAGGGACUCGCGGUCGAUGCGCUGCUUGGUGUAGAGGAGCCCGCUGUCUGCGUCCACGUCCAGCAGGUGCGGUGCGGAGUUCUCCAGCACCCGGUAGCUACCCGACUUGCUGCGCCCUCCGCCGCCGCGCUCUGCAGGCGGAAGCCCAGGCUGCAGUCGAGCAUCCCUGCCGAUGUUCCCGAUCACCGUGCCGGCCCCUUGCUCCUCCGGCACGGAGUAGUUGAGGUUCUUGAGAGUGAGGGCAGGGGCCCAUAGAAGAAAGCAGCAACAGAUGGAAAGGUACAUCCCAGACCUGUAAGGUG
Molecule: long non-coding RNA, 1024 nt
Filed under: Homo sapiens (human)
Lineage: Eukaryota; Metazoa; Chordata; Mammalia; Primates; Hominidae
Description: non-protein coding lnc-DIAPH3-17:1
Source: RNAcentral